This 274-nucleotide ribosomal RNA is filed under the name uncultured bacterium. Its description in RNAcentral is "partial 16S ribosomal RNA". It matches the Rfam family "Bacterial small subunit ribosomal RNA", at positions 523 to 796 of the family's 1533-position model. The record is from RNAcentral.
AUACAGAGGGUGCAAGCGUUAAUCGGAAUUACUGGGCGUAAAGCGCACGUAGGUGGUUCAUUAAGUCAGAUGUGAAAGCCCCGGGCUCAACCUGGGAACUGCAUUUGAAACUGGUGAGCUAGAGUAUGGUAGAGGUAAGUGGAAUUCCAGGUGUAGCGGUGAAAUGCGUAGAUAUCUGGAGGAACAUCAGUGGCGAAGGCGACUUACUGGACCAAUACUGACACUGAGGUGCGAAAGCGUGGGGAGCAAACAGGAUUAGAAACCCGGGUAGUCC